RNAcentral lists this long non-coding RNA (245 nucleotides) under Prunus persica (peach). Its description in RNAcentral is "long non-coding RNA (PPER_LNC007293)". Lineage: Eukaryota; Viridiplantae; Streptophyta; Magnoliopsida; Rosales; Rosaceae. The record is from RNAcentral.
GGAUAUCAUCGUCAAAUCAAUCGAAAAUUAUAAAAUAUUUCUCUCUCCCCUCUUUCUUUUCUGUUUCCUUUCCUUCUCUCUUCUCUCUUUCUUUUUUUUUCUUCUUUCUUCCUCUCCCCGAGUUCAGUCUUCUCUCUCCUCUUUCUUUUUUAUCCUUCCCUUCUCUCAUUCUUUUCUUCUUCUUCUCUCUCCGCCAGAUAUCUCUCUCAUGCUUUUCUUCUCCUUCCCUUCUCUCUUUCUUUCUC